Molecule: ribosomal RNA, 253 nt
Filed under: uncultured bacterium
Lineage: Bacteria
Description: partial 16S ribosomal RNA
Rfam family: Bacterial small subunit ribosomal RNA
Source: RNAcentral
UACGGAGGGUGCAAGCGUUGUUCGGAAUCAUUGGGCGUAAAGGGUGUGUAGACGGCCUAUUAAGUCUGGUGUGAAAGCCCGGGGCUCAACCGCAGAAGGGCAGUGGAUACUGGAAGGCUAGAGUACGGAAGAGAAGGGUGGAAUUCCUGGUGUAGCGGUGAAAUGCGUAGAUAUCAGGAGGAACACCGAUGGCGAAGGCGGCCUUCUGGACGGUUUCUGACGCUGAGACGCGAAAGCGUGGGGAGCAAUCAGG